Molecule: unclassified non-coding RNA, 345 nt
Filed under: soil metagenome
Description: partial contains 5.8S ribosomal RNA, internal transcribed spacer 2, and large subunit ribosomal RNA
Rfam family: 5.8S ribosomal RNA (bases 1-120)
Source: RNAcentral
GAUGAAGAACGCAGCGAAAUGCGAUACGUAAUGUGAAUUGCAGAAUUCAGUGAAUCAUCGAGUCUUUGAACGCACAUUGCGCCCCCUGGUAUUCCGGGGGGCAUGCCUGUCCGAGCGUCAUUGCUGCCCUCAAGCACGGCUUGUGUGUUGGGCCUCCGUCCUCCUCCCGGGGGACGGGCCCGAAAGGCAGCGGCGGCACCGCGUCCGGUCCUCGAGCGUAUGGGGCUUCGUCACCCGCUCUUGUAGGCCCGGCCGGCGCUUGCCGACACAUCAAUCUUUUUUCCAGGUUGACCUCGGAUCAGGUAGGGAUACCCGCUGAACUUAAGCAUAUCAAGAAGCGGAGGA